AUCGGAGGUGCCUCAGCCAUGGCAUGGAUCCCUCUCUUCCUCGGCGUCCUUGCUUACUGCACAGGAUCCGUGGCCUCCUAUGAGCUGACUCAGCCACCCUCAGUGUCCGUGUCCCCAGGACAGACAGCCAGCAUCACCUGCUCUGGAGAUAAAUUGGGGGAUAAAUAUGCUUGCUGGUAUCAGCAGAAGCCAGGCCAGUCCCCUGUGCUGGUCAUCUAUCAAGAUAGCAAGCGGCCCUCAGGGAUCCCUGAGCGAUUCUCUGGCUCCAACUCUGGGAACACAGCCACUCUGACCAUCAGCGGGACCCAGGCUAUGGAUGAGGCUGACUAUUACUGUCAGGCGUGGGACAGCAGCACUGCACACAUGUGUGGUAUUCGGCGGAGGGACCAAGCUGACCGUCCUAGGUCAGCCCAAGGCUGCCCCCUCGGUCACUCUGUUCCCGCCCUCCUCUGAGGAGCUUCAAGCCAACAAGGCCACACUGGUGUGUCUCAUAAGUGACUUCUACCCGGGAGCCGUGACAGUGGCCUGGAAGGCAGAUAGCAGCCCCGUCAAGGCGGGAGUGGAGACCACCACACCCUCCAAACAAAGCAACAACAAGUACGCGGCCAGCAGCUAUCUGAGCCUGACGCCUGAGCAGUGGAAGUCCCACAGAAGCUACAGCUGCCAGGUCACGCAUGAAGGGAGCACCGUGGAGAAGACAGUGGCCCCUACAGAAUGUUCAUAGGUUCUCAACCCUCACCCCCCACCACGGGAGACUAGAGCUGCAGGAUCCCAGGGGAGGGGUCUCUCCUCCCACCCCAAGGCAUCAAGCCCUUCUCCCUGCACUCAAUAA
Molecule: long non-coding RNA, 832 nt
Filed under: Homo sapiens (human)
Lineage: Eukaryota; Metazoa; Chordata; Mammalia; Primates; Hominidae
Description: long non-coding RNA NONHSAT192120.1
Source: RNAcentral